AACGAACGCUGGCGGCAUGCCUAACACAUGCAAGUCGAACGAGACCUUCGGGUCUAGUGGCGCACGGGUGCGUAACGCGUGGGAACCUGCCCUUAGGUUCGGAAUAACUCCCCGAAAGGGGUGCUAAUACCGGAUAAUGUCUUCGGACCAAAGAUUUAUCGCCUUUGGAUGGGCCCGCGUUGGAUUAGCUAGUUGGUAGGGUAAAAGCCUACCAAGGCGACGAUCCAUAGCUGGUCUGAGAGGAUGAUCAGCCACACUGGGACUGAGACACGGCCCAGACUCCUACGGGAGGCAGCAGUGGGGAAUAUUGGACAACGGGCGAAAGCCUGAUCCAGCAAGGCCGCGUGAGUGAUGAAGGCCUUAGGGUUGUAAAGCUCUUUUACCCGGGAUGAUAAUGACAGUACCGGGAGAAUAAGCUCCGGCUAACUCCGUG
Molecule: ribosomal RNA, 433 nt
Filed under: uncultured bacterium
Lineage: Bacteria
Description: partial 16S ribosomal RNA
Rfam family: Bacterial small subunit ribosomal RNA
Source: RNAcentral